AACGAACGCUGGCGGCAGGCUUAACACAUGCAAGUCGAACGCAUCCUUCGGGUGAGUGGCAGACGGGUGAGUAACGCGUGGGAAUCUACCCAUCUCUGCGGAAUAGCUCCGGGAAACUGGAAUUAAUACCGCAUACGCCCUACGGGGGAAGGAUUUAUCGGGGAUGGAUGAGCCCGCGUUGGAUUAGCUAGUUGGUGGGGUAAAGGCCUACCAAGGUGACGAUCCAUAGCUGGUCUGAGAGGACGAUCAGCCACAUUGGGACUGAGACACGGCCCAAACUCCUACGGGAGGCAGCAGUGGGGAAUCUUGCGCAAUGGGCGAAAGCCUGACGCAGCCAUGCCGCGUGAAUGAUGAAGGUCUUAGGAUUGUAAAGUUCUUUCGCUCGUGACAAUGAUGACGGUAACGAGAGAAGAAGCCCCGGCUAACUUCGUGCCAGCCGCCGCAGUAA
Molecule: ribosomal RNA, 448 nt
Filed under: uncultured bacterium
Lineage: Bacteria
Description: partial 16S ribosomal RNA
Rfam family: Bacterial small subunit ribosomal RNA
Source: RNAcentral